AUUGAACGCUGGCGGCAUGCCUAACACAUGCAAGUCGAACGGCAGCACAGUAAAGAUUUCGGUCUUUAUGGGUGGCGAGUGGCGGACGGGUGAGUAAUGCGUAGGAAUCUGUCCUGGAGAGUAGGAUAACCCGAGGAAACUCGGGCUAAUACUGCAUGAUAUCGAGAGAUCAAAGGCAGGGGACCCUUCGGGGCCUUGCGCUCUAGGAUGAGCCUACGUCGGAUUAGCUAGUUGGUGGGGUAAAGGCCUACCAAGGCGACGAUCCGUAGCUGGUCUGUGAGGAUGACCAGCCACACUGGGACUGAGACACGGCCCAGACUCCUACGGGAGGCAGCAGUGGGGAAUCUUGGACAAUGGGGGAAACCCCGAUCCAGCGAUGCCGCGUGUGUGAAGAAGGCCUUCGGGUUGUAAAGCACUUUAGUUGGGGAAGAAAAGUAAUGAGUGAAUAACUGAUUGCUCUGACGGUACCCAAAGAAUAAGCACCGGCUAACUCUGUGCCAGCAGCCGCCGUAA
RNAcentral lists this ribosomal RNA (513 nucleotides) under uncultured bacterium. Its description in RNAcentral is "partial 16S ribosomal RNA". It matches the Rfam family "Bacterial small subunit ribosomal RNA", at positions 30 to 523 of the family's 1533-position model. The record is from RNAcentral.